RNAcentral lists this ribosomal RNA (881 nucleotides) under Fomitiporella sp. Oe7. RNAcentral describes it as "eukaryotic LSU rRNA". It matches the Rfam family "Eukaryotic large subunit ribosomal RNA", at positions 72 to 929 of the family's 3401-position model. The record is from RNAcentral. Lineage: Eukaryota; Fungi; Basidiomycota; Agaricomycetes; Hymenochaetales; Hymenochaetaceae.
GGAUUCCCCCUAGUAACUGCGAGUGAAGCGGGAAGAGCUCAAAUUUAAAAUCUGGCGGUCUCUGAUCGUCCGAGUUGUAACCUGAAGGAGCGUUUUCCGCGCCGAACCGUGUACAAGUCUCCUGGAACGGAGCGUCAUAGAGGGUGAGAAUCCCGUCCAUGACACGGACGCUCGGUGCUUUGUGAUACGCUCCCGAAGAGUCGCGUUGUUUGGGAAUGCAGCGCAAAAUGGGUGGUAAAUUCCAUCUAAAGCUAAAUAUUGGCGAGAGACCGAUAGCGAACAAGUACCGUGAGGGAAAGAUGAAAAGCACUUUGGAAAGAGAGUUAAACAGUACGUGAAAUUGUUGAAAGGGAAACGCUUGAAGUCAGUCGCGUCUUGUGGAACUCAGCCUUGCUUCGGCCUGGUGUACUUUCCACUCGACGGGUCAACAUCAAUUUCGACCGGUGGACAAGGGCGAGGGGAAUGUAGCGUCGUUUCGACGACGUGUUAUAGCCCCUCGUCGCAUACACCGGCUGGGAUUGAGGACCGCAGCGCGCCCUUGUGGCCGAGGGUUCGCCCCAUGUACCGCGCUUAGGAUGUUGGCAUAAUGGCUUUAAGCGACCCGUCUUGAAACACGGACCAAGGAGUCUAACAUGCUUGCGAGUGUUCGGGUGGAAAACCCUUGCGCGUAAUGAAAGUGAAAGUUGGGAGCCUCCGCGAGGGGGUGCACCGACGCCCGGCCCUGACGUUCUCUGACGGUGCUGCGGUAGAGCAAGUAUGUUGGGACCCGAAAGAUGGUGAACUAUGCCUGAAUAGGGCGAAGCCAGAGGAAACUCUGGUGGAGGCUCGUAGCGAUUCUGACGUGCAAAUCGAUCGUCAAAUUUGGGUAUAGGGGGCGAAAG